RNAcentral lists this ribosomal RNA (651 nucleotides) under uncultured Rhizophagus. RNAcentral's name for it is "SSU rRNA". It matches the Rfam family "Eukaryotic small subunit ribosomal RNA", at positions 624 to 1276 of the family's 1831-position model. The record is from RNAcentral. Lineage: Eukaryota; Fungi; Glomeromycota; Glomeromycetes; Glomerales; Glomeraceae.
AAGCUCGUAGUUGAAUUUCGGGGUUAGUAGGUUGGUCAUGCCUCCGGUAUGUACUGAUCUCACUGAUUCCUCCUUCCUCAUGAACCGUAAUGCCAUUAAUUUGGUGUUGCGGGGAAUUUGGACUGUUACUUUGAAAAAAUUAGAGUGUUUAAAGCAGGCUAACGCUUGAAUACAUUAGCAUGGAAUAAUGAAAUAGGACGUUCGAUCUUAUUUUGUUGGUUUCUAGGAUUGACGUAAUGAUUAAUAGGGAUAGUUGGGGGCAUUAGUAUUCAAUUGUCAGAGGUGAAAUUCUUGGAUUUAUUGAAGACUAACUACUGCGAAAGCAUUUGCCAAGGAUGUUUUCAUUAAUCAAGAACGAAAGUUAGGGGAUCGAAGACGAUCAGAUACCGUCGUAGUCUUAACCAUAAACUAUGCCGACUAGGGAUCGGAUGAUGUUAAUUUUUUAAUGACUCAUUCGGCGCCUUACGGGAAACCAAAGUGUUUGGGUUCCGGGGGGAGUAUGGUCGCAAGGCUGAAACUUAAAGGAAUUGACGGAAGGGCACCACCAGGGGUGGAGCCUGCGGCUUAAUUUGACUCAACACGGGGAAACUCACCAGGUCCGGACAUAGUAAGGAUUGACAGAUUGAGAGCUCUUUCUUGAUUCUAUGGGUG